RNAcentral lists this unclassified non-coding RNA (268 nucleotides) under Hevea brasiliensis (rubber tree). Lineage: Eukaryota; Viridiplantae; Streptophyta; Magnoliopsida; Malpighiales; Euphorbiaceae. The record is from RNAcentral.
UUGAGGAAGACAAAAGAGAAUGAUAGUCCCUCUUUCUACUUGACCCCACUUCAUACUUAGCAUUACUCCUGUGGAAAUAAUACAAAGAUUAAAUGCAACUAAAAAUUCAUGCCAUGCAAUGUAAUUUUAGGUUCUCUUUAUAAAUUGUGUAAGCAUUACAUGCAUUAUGCCCUGGACACGGGGGAAAUUCAGAUGCAAAUCACAUAGGCACUACAUGGCUUUACAGAUGGCUGGAGUUGCUGUAAUCACGAAACAGUGAAAGUGUAAA